CCCUUAGAUGUUCUGGGCCGCACGCGCGCUACACUGAUGCAUUCAACGAGUCUAAAACCUGGUCUGAUAGGGCUGGGUAAUCUUUUGAAUGUGCAUCGUGAUUGGGAUAGAUGAUUGCAAUUCUUCAUCUUCAACGAGGAAUGCCUAGUAAACGCAAGUCAUCAGCUUGCAUUGAUUACGUCCCUGCCCUUUGUACACACCGCCCGUCGCUCCUACCGAUUGAAUGUUCCGAUGAAUACCAUGGACUGAGAGUAUGAAUGGGUUCGCCUAUUUCUGCUUCUCGGGAAGUGGAGUAAAUCUGAACAUUUAGAGGAAGGAGAAGUCGUAACA
This 330-nucleotide ribosomal RNA is filed under the name uncultured eukaryote. RNAcentral describes it as "partial 18S ribosomal RNA". It matches the Rfam family "Eukaryotic small subunit ribosomal RNA", at positions 1470 to 1796 of the family's 1831-position model. The record is from RNAcentral.